GAAUUGCGGCUUGACACUAAACUAUCUCCCACUGGAUAUUUUGGGUGGCCAGGCCACCUCCUUCUUCCUACUCACGACCAUAAUCUCCCCUUAUUCAUUCUCCUCACCUCUAAAUAGACAUUCACCCCUUCGUUUAGUUCCCACACCAAAAUCGGACCAUAGGAACCUGCGAGCACCCGAGCCUUAAGUCCAGAGUCGUGCCGACCGCGAGAUAGAAGUGAUAGAGUCAAAUAAGUAUACCAUGCUAAGGCUAGAUAACCCAAACACCCAGGUAACCAUAGGGAUAUCUUGGGUUGCGAUGGAGCAGUGUUGAUGGCGUAGUGUUUGUGUCUUUUGCAAAGGAAUAUGUAUUGUAAUAUGUAACUAGAUCUUGACCCGCGUAACCGCG
Molecule: long non-coding RNA, 388 nt
Organism: Brassica oleracea var. oleracea
Lineage: Eukaryota; Viridiplantae; Streptophyta; Magnoliopsida; Brassicales; Brassicaceae
Exons: 3
Source: RefSeq, a predicted model, not a curated record